Molecule: ribosomal RNA, 406 nt
Filed under: uncultured bacterium
Lineage: Bacteria
Description: partial 16S ribosomal RNA
Rfam family: Bacterial small subunit ribosomal RNA
Source: RNAcentral
GAUGAACGCUAGCUACAGGCUUAACACAUGCAAGUCGAGGGACCGGCGCACGGGUGAGUAACACGUAUCCAACCUGCCCUUUACUCGGGGAUAGCCUUUCGAAAGAACGAUUAAUACCCGAUAUAAAGGAUGGGGAUGCGUUCCAUUAGGUUGUUGGUGAGGUAACGGCUAGCCAAGCCUUCGCUGGAUAGGGGUUCUGAGAGGAAGGUCCACCACAACUGAGCUGAGGCACAGUCCAAACUCCUACGGGAUGCAGCAGUGAGGAAUAUUGGUCAAUGGGGGCUAGCCUGAACCAGCCAAGUAGAGUGAAGAAUGAAUGCUUAUGGGUCGUAAACUUCUUGUAUAUAAGAAGAUGUAUUAUAUGAAUAAGGAUCGGCUAACUCCGUGCCAGCAGCCGCGGUAAUAC